GUUAUCAUUUCAGAAGGUUUAGUUGUAUGAUUUCUGGUGUCUUCCAUUUCAUCAUCUCUUGGGUUUGUUCUUGGUGAGUUGGAGGACUGAGACUGCUUCUUGCUCAUUCAUUUUGUAAUUUUCCUCUGGGAUUCCUGUAGCUGGCCAGGCACUCUCCCAAUGGGUUGCACUGGAAUGCUGUCAUGGACAGAUCUUCAAUCAUCCAAUAUCUCUGUGGCUAGCCAGGGCAUACCCCCUAAUUAUGGCACUGGAGACUUUUUUGCUCUGUGGUCUGUGAGACUGGCUGGGUGUUCCCUGAUGUACUGCACUGGGUUGCUCUGGAGCUCUGGGCUGGGCAGAGCUUGGAUCCUCUGUGCAGCUAGCAUGAAUGCACCUCCAGAGUAUGGUGCUGUGGCCUUACAUCUGGCUGGGUGGAGUUCAGAACCUCUGGGACCCAGGAAGCUAGGCAGAAUACACACCCAGAGUGUGGCAGCAUGGGGGUCUUGGGUCUAGCGGGGAGGAUUUCAGAACCUCCGGGACCCAUGCAGCUAGGCAGAGUGUGCCCCCAGAGUAUGGUGGUGGUGGGACCUGCUAAAUUGCUUUUGAGGGACUGACUCAAUGACUGAAGGACCUCUUGCCAGGCUCAACCUCCAGUUUUCAUCCCUUUCCAAUACUGAUGACCAACUUGUAACACACAGACCCUGGAGAGACCUUCAAGGUAUAUCUAAACCAUUGCCCAAGAGCAUCUGUUCUGACCUAUCUCCUCCCAAGUGUUCUGAGGCUAGGAGAAGACCUUCCUAUAAUGAGAAUAGCUUAAAAUGAAAAUCAGUUGUGGAGCCUAAGCACAAAAGUGCUGUUGGGCAACAGUAUCACGGUUCAUGACUGUGGUACAGCACACAGGAUGAGAUUACUCAGAGUCCAUGUCCCAGUUUUACCUCCAAGGGCCCAGGGGUGCUGCUUUUUGCUUGUGAUCCUUCAGUGUGAGAUUCUCAGGAAAAAACAGCUCUGAUCUGAAGCUUCUAUGAUAUUUUAUUCAUAGAUUCAGGAUGCAAGGAUAAAGCACAAAUGUCAAAUAUCUGUUCAGGAAUUCAGGUAGUGGACAGGGAGAGGACAGGGGAAGGAAAAGGUGGUCUGCUACAUGCCUGAACUUAGAGAUAAUUUAAGUAAUUAGUUGGAGUAUGGGAUGGACAAAGGCCAGAGCAUACAUUCCUUAAAUCAAUGUGCCAAGUAGUCUCAGACUUGUGACCCUGAAGACUAUCUUCAAUCUUUAACUCUGCAUUCUGGGAGGUUUUGGACUUGUUGCUACCAAAGUCCCUCAUCUCUGCAUAUUCAUCUCAUACAUACUUUUGGUCUAUGUCCCCACAGAGCAAGAGCAACAAAAUAGAUAAACAAAAUGAAAUAUGGUCAAGAGCCAAAGCAGCAAAUCUUGUUAUUCCAGAUAAUUGUUUAUUUAUUUCUUCCUGGGACCACAAGGUCUCCCUUAUCUUUUCCCUCUGCAUAUUUAUUUAAUUUUUUCCUAUUUUCCUUGUAGAAUUAUCUUUACUUCUUUUUGUAGAAAAAAAAAAGGAUGAGUUGUGAGGAAGGGGAAAGGGAUUUUUUAAAAAACAUGGAUUUUUAAAAAGAGUAAACUAUAAAAAGUACAUGUAACCUCUCCCCAAGAUGACUGUAAACUGCAUGAAUUGUAAACAUGUACUAAUAAAAUAAAAAAAAAUUAAAAAAGAACAAGGGCCAGUAACAGACUUACGCAGUCUUCAACCAAAGGAUUUACAGUAAAUAUUCUAGAUCUAUCAUACAUAGUCCCAAAUACUUUAGUACUCACAUUACUUUAUGUAUCAGACAAAAUACUACAUAUUAAAUGUGAUGGCCAAGCUACUGUAAGGUAUAUUGUGAUUUCAGACAUGAUAAAGUAUUUGAAAUUGUACCUACUCAUUAGCAUCAAUGAAAUGCAACACACUAGGGGGUUUGAUGUCUGGGUUCUAAAUUUCUAAAAAGAAAGGGUGUAACUGGUUUAGUCUAAUCAAUGAUUCAUGUCCUCAGACUCACAUGUCUAAAAAAACAAGCCAAGAUAGAUGCAAAAACUCAGUUUCAUUCACUGUAGAUAGCUUUUUCUUCCAUGUUUCAAGCAACCAACCAACUCACUGACCAACCAACAAAUGUGCUAGAGUCAUUCUAACUGCUUGCCUUGUAAUUUUAAAAUCUCUAUUACUUUAGAAUCUCUGUUUAGUGGGCCCAUAUUUGUUCUUUCAUACUGAUCCAACAUUGAAUUCCUCUUACCAUUACCUCACAUUUCUCACCUGUACUGUCAUAUAUGUCACACAAAUUUCUAAUUCAUUAAAAAAUCAAGCAGUUCCUUUAAGUGCAGCAUACAUCCUCAUGGGUUGACUUUAUAUCUCACCUUUAGGGGCCUCUGAGACAUGCUGCUUGCUGUAAGUUGAGAAGCAAAGAAGGUAUGUGGGAUGAGUCCUAUUGAGGAUCAGCAGUGUUUCUAAGGCAGCUGCCAAAGAAAGCCACUAGAGUUUCCUGAGAAGUUUGAGGCCAGUGUCCUUGGUGGGGAGAAGCCCCUUCUUCUGGAAGAAGACUCAUCAGAACUCAGUGAUCCAAUGUUCCCAGCAUCAUCAUGAUUUUUCUCUAUAUGCUCCCAAUCUAGAAUCCAAUUCCAUUUUUAUUAAUGCUCUCACUUUUAAAGUAGCCUCCCUAUGAGGCUGAGGGUCCAUUUUGCAUCUUAGGUAAUUUCAAGAUGAAAUUCGGUUUUGAUUUUCAUAUUAGUCAGAUAGAGGCAAAUCUGUAACAUGCCUAAAUAUUAUAUUCCUAGAGAUGAAAUAGCUCAGAAGAGCAAAAAGUCUUAUUUUACCUGUAGAGGCAGAAAAUUUUUAGGUCAAGAGAACAAAACUACAACCAAAGUCAUGGAAGCAGAGUCAUAUCUUUCUGUCCCAUAUAGGCUCUCGGAUUCAAGCCUGUUUACAGACCCUGGAUUUCCUGAAGCAGGGAAAAAGACUCAGUUCCUUGAAAUAGGAUCCAAGUAUACUACUAAACAUUUAUGCUAUUAUCUUCCCUGGAUUAUCCCAUAUGAACUUCAUCCUUUUAGUAAGGUAACUAUGCUUGGGGAAAAGGAAAUAGCUGAGGGCUUUUCAGGACUAUCAGGCACCAGAUCCAGAAAACUCAGAACAUCACUGUGCUCUGCUAGUCAGAAAAGGGAAUGGUGGAGGUUGGAUAUCAGAGUAAUUUUGGCUCAGGUCCACGGUUCCAGUGGACUCCUGAACCUAUUCUGUCGCUACUUCCUCGAUUUUGUACUAGAUCUUAGCCAAAAGGCUGAGAAGCAAUACUUCAUCAAUUCUGGAAUUCAUAAUUACAAUCAACAUACUCAGUUACUAGCAGAGACCCUACAUUAAUUCCCUAAACUAUGGAGUGAGGAAUAAAACACAAAGGUAGGCAAUUAGAAUCAAUCUGACUAGAAAACCAGAACAUUAAAAUUAAAACCAAGAAAUUAGUUCCACCAUGAAAGGCUUGGGAUGGUGAUUUCUACUACAUUCCUAUUGAACUCACUUAAUUGUCCUAUGUGAGAAAUACAUGGAUCUUAGAGAAUAAUGGUGGAUUUUACCAGGUUAACUAGAUGGUGAAUCUAAUAGUUUCAAUAUCAAAUGACAUGGUUUCACUACUUGAUGAAAUUAACAAAUAUUGUGGUACCUAGGAAUGCAGAUAUUCACUGACAAAUGCCUUUUCCUCCAUAUUUAUACAUGCCACUAGAAAGAAUUCAUUCUCAGUUAGCCAGGCAAAUGAUAAAACUUCACUGCUGUACCUCAAGAGUAUAUUAGUUCUUCAAUUUAUGUAAUAAUUUCUAUGGCCUGUAGGUUUGUGAUGAGUAUCUUACCCCCCACCUCAAAGGUCCCUUUGUGUACUCUAGGCUGUGGCAGCCAUCCAAGCUAAAGCAUAAACCUGAUAACAAUGGCCAAUGGAGAAAGCAAACUGACCUCUGCACUCUGAGAUAUAGGCAGUGAGAUGGUGGUGGCGGUGGUAGAAUGGGGAAUGGGUACACUGGGUAAAGUAUGAUGGGCUUAAUGCCACAAAUGUGAAAUCUAGUCCCCUUCAAAAACUACAUGUGACUGACUGGCCUGGCUUAUUACAGCGUGCACAACCCCCAUGUCCUUCCCAGCCCAGACUUACUGCUGUUCAAACUUUUGAGGGGUCUGUGUCUGUCCUGUAUUUUCUUAGGGAGCAUCUCUUGGGGGUCCUCUCCCACCUAGUCACUGUGCUGGGUUGAUCCCAGAAGCCUUGAAAUAGAGUAUGGUUUCUGAUUCCUGGAGCAACUCAGUCUUAAACAAUCAAAAUUGUUUCCCAAAAUAGCUUCUCAUUAAUCACUCCAAAAUGGUUGACACCGCAAUGAAUUUCUUCUCCAACUUGAACUUGCCAUGUAGAAGUUAUUUUAGAGUAAAAUCACAUACUGUUUUUGUGAUUUAUAAUAACUCUGGGCUUUUAUUGAUGCCAGUGCUGUCAGCCCAGCCCAUUGUUUCUUGUUUAGGGUGCUGACCCUCUUCAGGCUUAUUGGGUGCCUGCGGAGAGCAAGCUUCCUCCCUCGGAGCUAGAGUUAGCGUUUCACAUUGCUGCUUUCUUUCCCCUACACUGUCUUCAAUUUGUCAAGUCUCUGUAACUCCUAGAAUUUUCUUUUCUCCUCACUGCUAUUGUUUUCCAAGUGUCAUGAAGUGCUACAGACAUGGAGCAUGCUACUGGAUUUUACAUUGCUAUCUUCUCGGAUUGGUUUUAAAACAUAAAAUUUGUGCUCUGUGUCCACUAGAGGGUACCAGUCUUAAAGAUGGAUUUUUAAUUAUGAACUAAAAAGCAUGACUAAUUCUUAGGAUUAUUAGUCAACCUUUUUUCUCAGCCCUGGGUAAUUGUCAUUACCCAAUGGAUUUGUGACCAAAGUGGCCUUGGUAUAAAGGAUAGAGAUUUUUAUGAGCUCAGCAGCAUGCACUUCCACUUACCUAUGACAGCCUGAUUAUAGCCACUGUUAAGUGACUAAUUUACCAACAGCAGAGACCAGUGCUGAGUUCUGGAUGUGGCACUGCUCUCUGGAGUGAAUCAGCCAGCUAGUUGAUUGAUUACACUGGACUACUUCCGUCAUGGAGAGAGGGGCUUUUUUUUUUUUUACUGUCAUAGACAUUCUAAUAUAUGUAUUUGCCUUCUAUUUAUGCUUCUGGCAAAACUGCCAUUUAUAGACUUUCAAAAUACAUUUUCCAGUAUCCCAGUAUUCUACCAGCAUUGCUUCCUGUCAACCACAUCAGUAUGGAAUUUUCACACUCACAGAAUUUGCUGGUCUCUUACUAUGUUACCCACCAUCCUGAAGCAGCUGUUUCAACAGAAUCAUGGGAUGACCUUUGGAAGACUCACUGUUCCAGCAAGGUGGCAAUACCUUGCAGUGCUGGAGUAAUGUUAUCAAGAGUACUAUGCACAUUUUUAAUCAGUGUAUGAUAUACACUGUGUUUGUGUCUCAUAGCAAGGGUUCACAGUUUCAGUAAUCUAACGGUAGAAAUGGAAGUGGUACCAUACCUAAUGACCAUUAUCAAAAUUUCUUUCUGCUCUUCUAAUUUUAUACGAGGCUAGUCUAUGGGUCUUUUUUUCCCAGAAUGAGGAAUUCUCCCACCAUGAAACACAAUGACAAUUCUGCUGAACUAUAAAUCGAUACAGCUACCAGCUUCUUUGGGUUCUUCACACUUGGUGUCAAUAGGCUAAGGCAUGAGUUAUGAUGCUGGCUAACUUUAUUGAUUAUCAAGGGGAAGUUGGACAAUGAAUCUACAAUGGAAGUAAGGAAAAAUAUGUCUGGGAUUUAAGAUGCCUCUUAGAGCAUCUCUAAAUGUUACUACCUUAUAAUUAAAGUCAGUGGAAAACUACAGCAAUGCAAUUCAGGCAAAGACUAAUUAUGGCUCAGACUCUCAGGAAUAGGGGUUUAGGUUGCCCCUCAAGAUGAAGAAUCAUGACUCUCGGAGGAAGUCUAAGGAAGUAUAUAAUGGGUAAUAGAAAAAGUACUUACUUACAUAGAUAUGAUCAUGUAGUCAGUUGUAGAAAAGAGUACUGUAAUUAUAACUAUUAUGCAUUUUAUUCAUGUAUGAAUAAUAUCUUGGUCUUCUUUUGUCUCUCAUCUGCUUAUCAUCUAGUUUAAAAUAUAUUGGCUUUACAUCACAGUAUUUAAGACCUCAUUUACAGCAUAGUAUUUAAGUUACAGGAUAUAAAAAAAGCCAACACCAUUCUAUUGUGGAAAAAACCAGGACCGAAUUGGAUGGAAGACACACAUGGAAGGUGGUCUUCAACUUGAACUACAACAUCAGUGAUUCUUUGGGUCCCUUCUUGAUGACCUUUGAACUGGAACUGGGUCCUCUACUUUAGGAUGCCCAACCUGCAAGCUUUUCGAUUCAGAGUGUGACAUAGUCCUUCCCUGGCUCCAGCGGGCUUGCUCACCCUGCAGAUUUUGGACUUGCGAGUCAGUCAGAUGUGAAAUACUGUACGAACCCCAGUUUUAUGCUUCAGAGGCUGAAUCUUCCAAGUUCACAUCCUGUAUGCCAUCAAGAUCUGGAAUAUGAAGAGAAACUUGCUAGUGUGUUUGAAACAAAUUCUUAUUAUCUAGGCAUUGAGCAAGUGAGAAAAUUUCAAUCUACGUCCGGAAGAAUUUGACCUAAAUUUCCUUAUUCCUGUACAGCAUUAAAAUGGGAGUAACAUUCUGGAAAUAAUCAGCUAUUGUUUCAGUUUCUUCAAGUUUUCAAUUUGUACACUACUUAUUUUAUGAUUUUUGCUGAAAACUUUCAUGGUUUACAUUUCUCUCAGCAGAGUUUCUACGUGUAUUCAAACCUGAGGCUUGGACAAACAUUAACCAGCAAUUGAGAUUUGUCCAUUUUAUGGAGUAAAUUUUUUCCCUCAGGAAGUUUCCCUCUUAAAUAUUCUCUUUAAAAUUUUAUUCACAUACCUCUUUUUGCUACCACUGAUAUCUAGGAUCUUUAAAAUAUGUUUUAGUACUUUAUUUUUUUUUCUGCUUAUUACUGCAGAAGCAAUGGCCUACUGUGAAACAGUACACUAAAGCUAGAGAUUAACAUUUGAAUGGAUUGGUUAUUUUUCUGUUUCUUUUUUCUUUGAUUUUAGAGUGUAUCCUAGAUGAUGUAGCAUAUAUUCUUUUUCUUGUUGCUUGGAAAUACAAGACGUUUCUGGUAUCUAUUUUUGCAUUAAGAACUGCCACAAAGAUUAAUCCCAAAGGUCAACAAUUGAUUGUCUCUUGUGUUUCUGUGAUGCAUAUAGUUUAACUUCACAACUCUUAUUUAGAAUCUCUUGUACAGUUUUAGGUAGAUGGUAACUAGAGUCAUUAAGACUGAACUAAGCUGAUCUUUCUUUCAUGUUUUUUCUUUUUUUCUUCCUUUUUUCUUUCUCUUUCUUUAAUAUCUUUUUCCUUCCUUUUUUCCUUGCUGACAUGUCUCCAGAGAGUUUAUGUAUUUUUUUCAAUCAUAAGUACAAGUUUUUUAUCUGGUCUGAAUCUGCUAUUAAUUCAAUAUGCAAUGAUUACAGUGAUCAUCAGGUAGUAGAGAAAAUGUACAUUAAACUGUAAAAGAAAAGGUUGUGCAUGGGGGUUCUGGUAAAGAUAGCAGAUAGAUAACAGCAGGCUACAGAGGCUCCCUGAGAUAGUCAGCUUAAAUUUCAAAAUAAUACAUCAUGGAGAGUCCCGAACAGAGGGAGAUGAAUCCUCCUGACCCAAGGUGAGAAGAACUAAUCAAACACAGUUCCAGGGCUACUACUGGAACAGCUAAAGGCUUGGUGCUUCCACUGCAGCAUCCAUACUCACAUAGCUGCAACUUACUGAGCCGCCUGAAAUCGUGCCGCUUCUACUCACUGGAAAUGCAUCACACUGAGGUCGGGGGUUGGUGAGCCAAACACAGAGCUGAGCUGGUGGGGAACUUACAUUGACCUGCGGUGAGUGCCGGGAAUAAAACCAUUCCACAGAAAAAGGGGCUCCAACAGAAGACAUUCUGAGACCUGAAAUGAUCGGCAAGAACAAGGAGCCAUAGUGACUUCAGUCAGUUGCUCCCUUCCCAAAUGGGAUUGAUGGGGUGUGCUUGGCCAGGGUUACACUCCUGGCUGAGACCCAGUAAGUUAUCCCCAAUCAAUUCCCUACGUCAGGGUCAGGCAGCACACACGAAUGCAGCGAAGGCCUCAGCAGGUUCACUGACCCAGAGGGGAAGGGCCAGCAUAUGCUGGCCCUGUUUGCACCUUAAUAGCACACUCUGUUGGCAGGACCACCUAGCCAGCACACUUCAGAAAGAAUUGUAACCAAUAAAGAAAGAAACUGAGGCCUUCUACAUAUAUACUUGUAUGGAAGAAACAAAAAAUAUGAAAUUAGGAAGCAGCAUGAAAAAGUCCCCAGCUCUCAACCCUGAGAACAUUGACCCAGGAAAGGUAAAUACAAAGGAGAUUGAGGACAGCAAACAUACAACAUCAGAUACAGCCCCAGUGAUACCUUUGGGACCUCAUACACGAGUUCAAAAGUAAAAUAUUUAACCAAGUAAAGCAAGAUAUAAGUAGAUUAAUAAAAGAAAUGCUAAGCAUCUCUCAGGAAGACACAGACAGAAGAAUGGGGGAACACAAAAGAAGGGGAGAAUCGUUUGAUGAAGAAUGUAAAGAAAACAUAGACUACAUGAAGCAGGUUCAAAGAGAUUACCAGGAAAUUAAAAACUCCAUUGAAAGCUGGCAAAAUGUCUUGAAAGAAACUAAGGAUAGAUUAUCCAAACUGGAGGAUGGGUUUGCAAUGUGGGAGCAUGAAAGGAAAAAUUGCUUAAAAAUAACAAGGAAAUAGGCAGUAACAACACAAAGGCUAGAGAUGACAAGAGGAUCUAUAAGUUAAGAAUAAAGAAUGUAAAUGAAGAAGCAGGGAUACAAACAAAGGAACUACAAAUGCUAUUCACAGAAAUAAUUAAGGAAAACUUCCCAAACAUAGGAAAAGGAAAUGAUAUUCAGAUGUAUGAGGCAUACAGAACUCCAGCCACCUACAACCAAAACAGAGCUAUACUCAGACAUAUAAUAAUCAAAAUCCCAGAAAUCCAGUAUCAGAACAGAAUAUUAAAAGCUGUCAGAGACAAGAAACAGAUUACUUACAAGGGAAAGCUCAUCAGAACUAUGGCAGACUUCUUGACACAAACCAUCCAAUCAACAAGAGCCUGGAGUAAAGUACUCCAAGCCCUGAAAAAAAAAAAUAGCCUCCAGGGGGCUGGGGAUUUAGCUCAGCGGCAUAAGCACCUGCCUUGCAAGCAGGCAGUCGUGAGUUCAAUCCCUGGUACUGAUAAAAAUGAAAAAGACAAAAAAAAAAAAAAAAUUAGCCUCCAGUCCAAAUUGAUGUUCCCUGAAAAACUGUCUCUAGAAAUUAAUGGAGAAACAAGACGCUUCCAAGACAAAGAGAAACUGGGGGAAUUUGCAACUACUAAUCCAACUCUACAGAGAAUAUUCCAGGACAUUCUAAAGAAAGAGAAAAGUACCAGGAUUCCAGGAACAGUGGCAGAGAGUCCUCAAUGAAUGGAGCAGAAAGCAAAGUGAAGAAGACAAACAUAACUAAUGACAGAAAAAGAGCACUACAGACAUGAGGCAGAGAAGGUUGGCUAUAAUCUCUAAUAUAGAUAGCUGUGACACACUAAAUUAAAAAAAGAAAAAAAAAAGAAUUACAGGGAGAGUAGAUCAGGAGGUAGAGUCCACUGAGAUGGUCUUUAUAGGAAAUAUAAUUAACCUGAAAAAGGGUAUAUGGACCGAAAAUCAAAUAUGAUAAAACAAUGCUCUGUGAGACAAGGAACCAGAGAGUAAUAGGGGAAACUGGACCAGUAUUUAUGGGCAGGUUGGAAAGACAGGCUUUAAUAGGUAAAGGAAUACAAUUAGAGAUCAAGUCCAGGAGGGAGAAGGUUCAGAACCACUUAGGUAAAUAGCAGGUUGCCCCCCCCCCCAAUUUAAAACAGAGAGUGUUGGUGAGACCAAAAAUUCACAGUAUACACUGGGGGAGUGAAAGGAGAGGGAAUAGUCUUAAAAAAGAGAGCAUAAGAUAUUAUUAAUAGUGUAUCAGGAAUUAAAACCCAUAUUACUCGCACUGCUCUGCUUAGAUAGAACAUAUUCUGUCCCAGUUUGUCUGCAAGCACUAGAUCUGAGGGCACAGACAGCUAUCCCAAAAAUAUCAGGAUAUACCACAGUAAUCAUCUUUAACUUCCUGUUAACUUAAUCUGGAGCCCUGUAUAACUUAUACUGUUAAAGUAUGACUGAUCUUAGUUAAAUCUGGUUUGUUUGAUUGCUGUUUGUUAUCAACAGAUUUUAUUCAAAACUAUUAUAAUUGAUAGUAUCAAGUCUGAGAGUAUAGACAACUAUACUGAAAAUGACAAGAUUCACUAUGAUACCUGUUCUGGUUUGAUUACUACCUUUUUUCUUUUGUAGUUUUACACUAUCUAAAAAGUUGUAUUUCUGUAAAUACUGUUAUAUACUGAUAUAUUCAAUUGUACUAUAUCUGAUUGUAUAGCCAAUUCUAUUGAAAAUAACAGGGGACAACACAGUAACCAUGGUAGAACUCCUUGUACAGUGGUUUUAUAUAUCUUUUUCAUGUUAUGUGUCUAUAGGAAUAUGCUUUGUUCUGUCCUGCUUUGUUUUGUUUCCCCCUCUAAUAUAGAAAGGAUAAAAGUACAUAUUAAGACUCAUGCAUGCGUAGAACCUAUAAACAGUUUACGAGAUCUGAUCUUACAACACAUGAUGAGAUGAACAAAUACUUUGAAGGAAAAAAGACACUACAGUACCCAGUGCUGAUCCUGGAGUGUCAUGAUGUGAAAUCCAGCAAUACUAUUAUUCUUUGUCCAGAGUGAUUUUAGUCAGCUUUGGUCUGUUUAAUCUCAACAUAAAGGAAGAUAUGGCUAACUGCAUGUAUGUUUAAAUGUAUAGGAUUGAUAACCAUAUUACUAAGGUUUUUUUUGGAUAGUUGAAUAGAACUAUUUGCAAUCUCACAGUUUGAAUUCCCACUUAUAUGUUCCAUUUUUGUAUCUUGAACAAUUAUUUGUAAGAGGACAAUAUGUAAACAUCAAUUAGUGAUUUAUUACUGUUUAUUUUUUCUUUGUAAGUAUGUAUUAUUUCUACCCAUUUUCUGUUUUGUUUAGUUUUUCUUUAAAUAAAUUUUUUUAAGUUGUGCCUGUUCAUAAUAAUGCUUUCCUCUUUUUUUUUUUUGUAUAUCUUCCUUUCUUCUAUUUUUGCUUUUACUAAUUACUAUCAUAGGCAGGUGACAUUAUUUGAUUCCCAUGUAGCAUAAAGUUUUAGAAAUACAAAAGAAUACUAUAC
Molecule: long non-coding RNA, 11295 nt
Organism: Cavia porcellus (domestic guinea pig)
Lineage: Eukaryota; Metazoa; Chordata; Mammalia; Rodentia; Caviidae
Exons: 3
Source: RefSeq, a predicted model, not a curated record